GACAACAGCAAACAGACACCUGACACAGGAACAGGGAGAAGAUGAUGUGCAUCAUCCUGCUGCUCAUCAACCUGACCUCCUGUGUCUGUGGAACAUUUGUAGUCAAUGUGACACAGACCUCCUAUCAGGCAGAGGAGAACCACAACAUCACACUGGAGUGGAUGUUCACCACCAAACCUGGCAGCUCCCUCCACUCCCUUUUUAUCCUCUGUGACCUGUUAAUUGAUC
Epinephelus fuscoguttatus (brown-marbled grouper) is the source of this 228-nucleotide long non-coding RNA. RefSeq lists it as uncharacterized. The transcript is spliced from 3 exons. NCBI's taxonomy places the organism in Eukaryota, Metazoa, Chordata, Actinopteri, Perciformes, Serranidae. The record is from RefSeq and is a predicted model, not a curated record.